CCAGCGGCUCCGACCCUUCAAGGCCCCGCACAUGCCCAUCACAGUGCCGUGACCAGAUUCGAGGGCUAUCGAGAAUUUUUAGUGGGUAGGCGGGUGUGCAAACAUGAAACCCACGAUGAAUGCAAUUGACUACAUCCAGAACAUCAUCGGGUCACCAUGCAAGUAAUAUGAAAAUCACCAGUGGGAUCACUUACAUUCUCUUUUUGGUGCUAAGUCUUUGAAAUCCAAGGUCAGUUCGACACUCAAAGGAGUUCUCAAUUUGGGCCACAUUUCAGGUGCUCGAGAGCCACAGGCCGCUGUCUGGCUUUCUUCAGAGUCUCGAAGGGGCCCGUGAACUCAAAGAGUAACCAUAAAAGGUCAAUGCCAGAUACAGCCACCUGGAAGCACCGGCGGUCCCAAGGAGCACGCGCCCUAGGGCACAAGGCAACACGUAUGAGAACAGUUUUCACCCCUGCUCGGAAGAGCUCGAGGUUGGAGGAAACGUAAAGCGUCCCUCGUCAGUAGAAUGGGGCCAUAAACAAGGGCAUGUUCCCACCCUUUGCAGGGGAAGGAGCCGGAGCUCCAAGUGCCAAGCGGAUGGAACUCCCAGACAGAAGCAAGCUGCGGAACGGGAGGCCCCAGACACGAUAGUAUUUAUGCGGCAUUUAGCCACGUGCAGCUUCGGUGUUUGAGCAGCUAGCAUGCGCUGUGGGGAGAAGCGCCCCCAAAGCUGCGCGGUGACGCGGAAAACGGACCCAACAACAGCCGGCACCCAGGCGUCUUUGGACACAUCGGGGUAAAGAGAGUCGGCGGGGUGUGCGGAAUUCCCGCGGGUGGGUCCCUGCCGGCGCCUGGACGCCGCCCCGACGUCCACGGAGGCCGCACCCG
This 867-nucleotide long non-coding RNA is filed under the name Suricata suricatta (meerkat). RNAcentral's name for it is "lncRNA (ENSSSUG00005018502.1)". Lineage: Eukaryota; Metazoa; Chordata; Mammalia; Carnivora; Herpestidae. The record is from RNAcentral.